UACGUAGGGUGCGAGCGUUAAUCGGAAUUACUGGGCGUAAAGCGUGCGCAGGCGGUUUUGUAAGACAGGUGUGAAAUCCCCAGGCUUAACCUGGAAACUGCAUUCGAGACUGCAUUGCUAGAGUAUGGGAGAGGGAAGUGGAAUUUCAGGUGUAGCGGUGAAAUGCGUAGAUAUCUGAAGGAACAUCAGUGGCGAAAGCGAUUUCCUGGACCAAUACUGACGCUCAUGUGCGAAAGCGUGGGGAGCAAACAGG
Molecule: ribosomal RNA, 253 nt
Filed under: uncultured bacterium
Lineage: Bacteria
Description: partial 16S ribosomal RNA
Rfam family: Bacterial small subunit ribosomal RNA
Source: RNAcentral